Molecule: long non-coding RNA, 276 nt
Filed under: Ricinus communis (castor bean)
Lineage: Eukaryota; Viridiplantae; Streptophyta; Magnoliopsida; Malpighiales; Euphorbiaceae
Description: long non-coding RNA (RCOM_LNC002967)
Source: RNAcentral
ACCAGCGGGCGACGGCAGCAGCUCUCGCGCGAGGAGGAAGAUGGCCGAAGCUUCUUUGCCGCCGUGCGGGCGUUUCCGGCGUCGGUGGUCGCUGAUUUUGGUGCCGAUCGACUCCUCUCGGCCUCGGCUUUGUUUUGGCGGCAGCGGUGUCGACAGUGGUGGCCGGAAUCGGAGAUUCACGGUGGAGAGAGAAAAUGGUGGCAGUCGGCGUUUUUGGCUUUUCCGGAGAGAUCCGGCGGAGGAGGGAUGAUCGGAGGACAUAUCCCGACUCUCCUC